GUCCAGCUAGUUCGGUCGGUAGAGCAUGGAACUCUUAAUCCCAGGGUCGUGGGUUCCAGCCCCACGUCGGGCG
RNAcentral lists this transfer RNA (73 nucleotides) under Trichuris muris. RNAcentral describes it as "snRNA TMUE_0100000425". It matches the Rfam family "tRNA". From Rfam's summary of the family: Transfer RNA (tRNA) molecules are approximately 80 nucleotides in length. Lineage: Eukaryota; Metazoa; Nematoda; Enoplea; Trichinellida; Trichuridae. The record is from RNAcentral.